RNAcentral lists this unclassified non-coding RNA (240 nucleotides) under soil metagenome. RNAcentral describes it as "partial contains 5.8S ribosomal RNA, internal transcribed spacer 2, and large subunit ribosomal RNA". The record is from RNAcentral.
AACGCACGAGACCUGCGGACCUGCGGAGGGAUCAUUAAUGAGAAGCUGCCCCUCGUGGGUAGACCUCCCACCCUCUGUGAACUUACCUUUGUUGCUUUGGCAGGCCCGUCCUCUGGACCGCCGGCUCCGGCUGGCCCGUGCCUGCCAGAGGAUUCCAAACCCUGUCUGUCAGUGUUGUCUGAGUCUAUAUGAAAUCGUUAAAACUUUCAACAACGGAUCUCUAGAUCGGAAGAGCACACG